GGGUGGUAAUGCCGGAUGUUCCACAUGAUCGCAUGUGAUUGUGGGAAAGAUUCUAUCGGCGUGGGAUGGGGUCGCGUCCUAUCAGCUUGUUGGUGAGGUAACGGCUCACCAAGGCUUCGACGGGUAGCCGGCCUGAGAGGGCGACCGGCCACAUUGGGACUGAGAUACGGCCCAGACUCCUACGGGAGGCAGCAGUGGGGAAUAUUGCACAAUGGGCGCAAGCCUGAUGCAGCGACGCCGCGUGAGGGAUGGAGGCCUUCGGGUUGUAAACCUCUUUUGUUUGGGAGCAAGCCUUCGGGUGAGUGUACCUUUCGAAUAAGCGCCGGCUAACUACGUGCCAGCAGCCGCGGUAAUACGUAGGGCGCAAGCGUUAUCCGGAUUUAUUGGGCGUAAAGGGCUCGUAGGCGGCUCGUCGCGUCCGGUGUGAAAGUCCAUCGCUUAACGGUGGAUCUGCGCCGGGUACGGGCGGGCUGGAGUGCGGUAGGGGAGACUGGAAUUCCCGGUGUAACGGUGGAAUGUGUAGA
Molecule: ribosomal RNA, 524 nt
Filed under: Bifidobacterium bifidum
Lineage: Bacteria; Bacillati; Actinomycetota; Actinomycetes; Bifidobacteriales; Bifidobacteriaceae
Description: bacterial SSU rRNA
Rfam family: Bacterial small subunit ribosomal RNA
Source: RNAcentral